This 620-nucleotide ribosomal RNA is filed under the name uncultured archaeon. RNAcentral describes it as "bacterial SSU rRNA". It matches the Rfam family "Archaeal small subunit ribosomal RNA", at positions 321 to 941 of the family's 1478-position model. The record is from RNAcentral.
CCCUACGGGGCGCAGCAGGCGCGAAAACUUUACAAUGCGGGAAACCGUGAUAAGGGAACACCGAGUGCCAGCAUCAUAUGCUGGCUGUCCAGAUGUGUAAACUACAUCUGUUAGCAAGGGCCGGGCAAGACCGGUGCCAGCCGCCGCGGUAACACCGGCGGCCCGAGUGGUGACCGUUAUUAUUGGGUCUAAAGGGUCCGUAGCCGGUUUGGUCAGUCCUCCGGGAAAUCUGAUAGCUUAACUGUUAGGCUUUCGGGGGAUACUGCCAGGCUUGGAACCGGGAGAGGUAAGAGGUACUACAGGGGUAGGAGUGAAAUCUUGUAAUCCCUGUGAGACCACCUGUGGCGAAGGCGUCUUACCAGAACGGGUUCGACGGUGAGGGACGAAAGCUGGGGGCACGAACCGGAUUAGAUACCCGGGUAGUCCCAGCCGUAAACUAUGCUCGCUGGGUGUCAGGCAUGGCGCGACCGUGUCUGGUGCCGCAGGGAAGCCGUGAAGCGAGCCACCUGGGAAGUACGGCCGCAAGGCUGAAACUUAAAGGAAUUGGCGGGGGAGCACAACAACGGGUGGAGCCUGCGGUUUAAUUGGACUCAACGCCGGACAACUCACCGGGAACGACA